Molecule: small RNA, 30 nt
Filed under: Bombyx mori (domestic silkworm)
Lineage: Eukaryota; Metazoa; Arthropoda; Insecta; Lepidoptera; Bombycidae
Description: ovarian small RNA-26959
Source: RNAcentral
UCCAUCGGUGUCGCCGAGGCCAUACCGGGC